Pongo pygmaeus (Bornean orangutan) is the source of this 1029-nucleotide long non-coding RNA. RefSeq lists it as uncharacterized. The transcript has 3 exons. The record is from RefSeq and is a predicted model, not a curated record. Lineage: Eukaryota; Metazoa; Chordata; Mammalia; Primates; Hominidae.
GUGAGAUCCUCCACGUCGUGGUUAUGGGUGAACUCCAGGUGGGCCUGCCACCGCAGCCUCUGCGGAGCAUCCUCCAUCAGAGGGGAGUUCGCCAGCAGACUGGAGCCAGGCUCAUCACCUUCUGCCAAGAGAGAGCCGAGGAGGAAAGAAAAAGCAUUCUCUACUACGUGUUCUCCAAGCAGCCAAGCCUCUGUCUUCAGGAGGGUCUGAGCUUCAUGGCUCUAGGCCAGCUCUCUCCCCCCAGAUCCAGAUUCCCACAGCUAAUGGCUUUCUGACAGCUCCAGAGUUUCACCAUGUUGCCCAGGCUGGUCUCGGACUCCUAAGCUCAACAGAUCCGCCUGCUUCAGCCUCCCAAAGUGCUGGGAUUACAAGCGUGAGCACCGCCCCCGGCCAAGCCUUUCACUUCUAACCACAGAAUGGAAGCCUCUCACUCUAUGAAAGGAAGUGGAGACAAUGAGAAUUCAGAAAUGACCGUUGUUAUCCUGGUCCUUAACAGAACCUCUUCUCCAUGCUAUCUGCCAUGGAAUUCUGGUGUUGGGAAUUCUAGAUAAAUUGGGAAGAAUUAGGUAAGUGAGAAGCAAAAAAGAGGAAAAUCAAACCACCACUUCAAAGGAGCUGUGAGAAAAUCCCAGUUCUCUUUAAAGACAUACAAGUGUGGGGGCAAAAAUAGCUCCUGUGGGCAGCUCAGCUGUGUCCCGGCCUCUGCUCCUGCCCCAGACACACACUGGCCAAGCCACGUUUAGGAUAAUGGCCACAGCAGAACAUUCCUGACUGUUAUAGAGGCUUCGGUACCCAAAUGGGAGAGACACUCCCUCCUGCUUCCAGACAUGCCCGCUGAGAACCAGAUGGCAGAACCUGCUUCCCCAACAGGCCAGCCAUCCCCUGGUUGGUUGGUCCUGUGUGAAGAGAAUGGAAUUUUAAUGUCUUCCUUCAGUGUAAAAUAUAUGUGAUAUAGGGUUUCCCUCAGAACUAUGAGCUGGAUGAUUACAUAUUUUUACAUUAAAGAGACUGAGCUAGAAGUUUUAAAAA